This 73-nucleotide transfer RNA is filed under the name Planctomycetota bacterium. RNAcentral describes it as "Planctomycetes bacterium tRNA-His". It matches the Rfam family "tRNA". Rfam says of the family: Transfer RNA (tRNA) molecules are approximately 80 nucleotides in length. Their secondary structure includes four short double-helical elements and three loops (D, anti-codon, and T loops). Lineage: Bacteria; Pseudomonadati; Planctomycetota. The record is from RNAcentral.
GUGGGUGUAGCUCAGAUGGUAGAGCACCGGAUUGUGGUUCCGGCUGUCGCGGGUUCGAGUCCCGUCAUCCACC